AUAUUUACAAAAAGAUUUUUCUAUUUAUUUUGUUAACCUUAUUGAUAUAUCCAUUUGUUUCGAGUAUUUAUAUUCCAAAAAAUCAUUAACUUAUAUUAUUCGUAAUUAUUUUAAUACUAUUGUUAAUUCGGAUGAUAGUGAUAUUAAUAUGUAUGAACAAGUAAAUCCAUUUAGUGUUGAAUUAAUUGACGAAAUAAAGGAAUCUUUUUAUUAUUUGUAUUUUUUAUUUGAUUAUGUAAUAUCUGAUUUGUAUUACAAUUAUAUUUAUUAUGUUAAUACAUCAGUUAAAACUGAGGCUAUAACAACCAGCAGUGAUGAUACUGUAACAAUACGUAGUAAUAAUGAACAAACAAAAACAAAUUAUUCAGACGAAAUAAAAAGCGAAAAAAAUGAUACAUCUAGUGUAGGAUUAUCAUCAACACUAUUACCCAUGGAUGCUGUCACAUCUUUUAAUUUAAAAUAUAAUAAAAAUGCAUAUACACAUUUUGAUCAUAUCAAAUUUGAUAUGUCGGAAGAAGAAAAGGAAAGUGCCAAGGAAUAUAUAAAAUUAGUUUUUGUUGAGAGUAAUAUUAAAUGUUUGGAAAAAUUCAAAAUGGAAGAUAUUACUAAUAUGAAAAAAACAAAAGAACAGAUAACAACAAUUAUAAAUGAAUCAUAUCGUCCAGUGUAUAAUGAUAAACUAAUGAUAAAAUUAUUACAAUUUAGAGAAGAAUUAGCAAAAAAAUAUGAUGAAAGACCAGAUAGUUUAAUUAAUUUAUAUAGUCUUAUUUCAAUCCUUUUAAAUACCCCAACAUCCAUUUUUGAGUUAAAAAAAAAUAUAUUUCCAUUAUCAACAAUAUUAGAAGAAAAUUUAGAAAAAGUAAUUCAUUUAAUUAUUCAACAUAAUAUGAAAAAAAAAACAAAGCUUUUUUUUUUAAAAAAAUUGUUAGAAAAUAAUGAAAAGUCAAAUAAUGAAUUAUAUGAUAAUCGUAUGAUGUACAGUGAUGUUAAUGCUGGAGAGGCUCCUAUCGAGAAUGAUCUGUCAUCUUGCAAAAGUGGAGUUGUAAAUGUUGAUACUAGCCAACUUAGUAAUAAUUAUGCUGAUUCUUUUAACUUUCAUAAUAUGUAUUUUCAAAUUACAUCAGGAGAAGGUCUCCAUGAUCGAUGUUUUAUACACAAAUUGUGUACCGUUGGAAGUGGAUUAGAUGGAAGUGGAUUAGAUGGAAGUGGAUUAGAUGGAAGUGGAUUGGAUGGAAGUGGAUUAGAUGGAAGUGGAUUGGAUGGAAGUGGAUUGGAUGGAAGUGGAUUAGAUGGAAGUGGAUUGGAUGGAAGUGGAUUGGGUGAUGAUAUGUUGUAUAAAAUGAAACUUGGGGAAGGACAUAUGGAAUGAAUGUUUUUUUUUUGAGAAAAUGCUUUUAAAGUAAUAGAUCGAGUAAUGGUGGGUAGUUAUUUUAUGACAAACACAUAUGUAAUAACAAGAGCAUAUUUAGUGAUAACGACUUGAAUUAUGAAAAACAAUGUAAUGAUCAUGUGGUUGAUAAUGAUAAAACAGAGAAUUAUAUGAUAUCUUUACAUUUGCUUUCACUGAUUAAAAAAAUAAUUUUACGAAACGGGGCAAUAUAAAGCAAAAUCGAGACAAUCAGGUUGUAUCUUAUGUAAAAAAUAUAUAACCAAAACAAGUGAAGGUACAUAAAAACGAUUUAAAAGGAGAAACAAGGUAACAAAAAGAAGGUAACAAAAAGAAGGUAACAAAAACAAGGUAACAAAAACAAGGUAACAAAAACAAGGUAACAAAAAGAAGGUAACAAAAACAAGGUAACAAA
Molecule: long non-coding RNA, 1802 nt
Filed under: Piliocolobus tephrosceles (Ugandan red Colobus)
Lineage: Eukaryota; Metazoa; Chordata; Mammalia; Primates; Cercopithecidae
Description: lncRNA (ENSPTEG00000001715.1)
Source: RNAcentral